GUGAGAUAGGAGUCAUCCCAUAAAGGCUUUUCAAGAUUUCUUCCCAGACUUUAAGAAGAUGGUGUGGAAACCAUUUGGCUCCUGAAUUGAGCAAAUUUUCUCUGAAUCUAGAAGAGGAUGAAUUCAUCUGCUGUUACUGUAGCUUUACUGUCAUCUUAAGGAAUUCUGCAAAACCAGCAGGGCUGCUGUCAGGAUGCUGUAUACUUUGGGGUAUUUUCACUUUCCUAGGAUACUGUUCCCAGAUGAGACUUCACUGUAUUGCCUCUGAUCUGUGCCAGAAUUACAGAUGUUUCAACGGAAAUGUGCAGAAACCACACAACUGAAAUAGAAUAAAUUAUGCUUAAAAUCAAGGAAAUGUCCUAAUAAGUGAGAAAUGCACCAAUUUCUCCUUGAGCUUUUUCACUGCCACUACCACCUGUGUUUAUUAUUUAUUCAUUUAUUUAUUUUGCUUUACAGUAUGGUACAGCAGCUGGUUCUUCCACAUGAAGAAAUCUGU
Long non-coding RNA from Cygnus olor (mute swan), 496 nucleotides. RefSeq lists it as uncharacterized. The transcript has 3 exons. The record is from RefSeq and is a predicted model, not a curated record. Lineage: Eukaryota; Metazoa; Chordata; Aves; Anseriformes; Anatidae.